AUUGAACGCUGGCGGCAGGCCUAACACAUGCAAGUCGAGCGGCAGCGGAAAGUAGCUUGCUACUUUGCCGGCGAGCGGCGGACGGGUGAGUAAUGCUUAGGAAUCUGCCUAUUAGUGGGGGACAACAUCUCGAAAGGGAUGCUAAUACCGCAUACGUCCUACGGGAUAAAGAAGGGGAUCUUCGGACCUUGCGCUAAUAGAUGAGCCUAGGUCGGAUUAGCUAGUUGAGGGGGUAAAGGCCUACCAAGGCGACGAUCUGUAGCGGGUCUGAGAGGAUGAACCGCCAAACUGGGACUGAGACACGGCCCAGACUCCUAUGGGAGGCAGCAGUGGGGAAUAUUGGACAAUGGGGGGAACCCUGAUCCAGCCAUGCCGCGUGUGUGAAGAAGGCCUUAUGGUUGUAAAGCACUUUAAGCGAGGAGGAGGCUACUUUAGUUAAUACCUAGAGAUAGUGGACGUUACUCGCAGAAUAAGCACCGGCUAACUCUGUGCCAGCAGCCGCCGUAA
Molecule: ribosomal RNA, 507 nt
Filed under: uncultured bacterium
Lineage: Bacteria
Description: partial 16S ribosomal RNA
Rfam family: Bacterial small subunit ribosomal RNA
Source: RNAcentral